Molecule: ribosomal RNA, 1522 nt
Filed under: Salmonella enterica subsp. enterica serovar Muenchen
Lineage: Bacteria; Pseudomonadati; Pseudomonadota; Gammaproteobacteria; Enterobacterales; Enterobacteriaceae
Also listed under: 7 other names
Description: bacterial SSU rRNA
Rfam family: Bacterial small subunit ribosomal RNA
Source: RNAcentral
AGAGUUUGAUCAUGGCUCAGAUUGAACGCUGGCGGCAGGCCUAACACAUGCAAGUCGAACGGUAACAGGAAGCAGCUUGCUGCUUCGCUGACGAGUGGCGGACGGGUGAGUAAUGUCUGGGAAACUGCCUGAUGGAGGGGGAUAACUACUGGAAACGGUGGCUAAUACCGCAUAACGUCGCAAGACCAAAGAGGGGGACCUUCGGGCCUCUUGCCAUCAGAUGUGCCCAGAUGGGAUUAGCUAGUUGGUGAGGUAACGGCUCACCAAGGCGACGAUCCCUAGCUGGUCUGAGAGGAUGACCAGCCACACUGGAACUGAGACACGGUCCAGACUCCUACGGGAGGCAGCAGUGGGGAAUAUUGCACAAUGGGCGCAAGCCUGAUGCAGCCAUGCCGCGUGUAUGAAGAAGGCCUUCGGGUUGUAAAGUACUUUCAGCGGGGAGGAAGGUGUUGUGGUUAAUAACCGCAGCAAUUGACGUUACCCGCAGAAGAAGCACCGGCUAACUCCGUGCCAGCAGCCGCGGUAAUACGGAGGGUGCAAGCGUUAAUCGGAAUUACUGGGCGUAAAGCGCACGCAGGCGGUCUGUCAAGUCGGAUGUGAAAUCCCCGGGCUCAACCUGGGAACUGCAUUCGAAACUGGCAGGCUUGAGUCUUGUAGAGGGGGGUAGAAUUCCAGGUGUAGCGGUGAAAUGCGUAGAGAUCUGGAGGAAUACCGGUGGCGAAGGCGGCCCCCUGGACAAAGACUGACGCUCAGGUGCGAAAGCGUGGGGAGCAAACAGGAUUAGAUACCCUGGUAGUCCACGCCGUAAACGAUGUCUACUUGGAGGUUGUGCCCUUGAGGCGUGGCUUCCGGAGCUAACGCGUUAAGUAGACCGCCUGGGGAGUACGGCCGCAAGGUUAAAACUCAAAUGAAUUGACGGGGGCCCGCACAAGCGGUGGAGCAUGUGGUUUAAUUCGAUGCAACGCGAAGAACCUUACCUGGUCUUGACAUCCACAGAACUUUCCAGAGAUGGAUUGGUGCCUUCGGGAACUGUGAGACAGGUGCUGCAUGGCUGUCGUCAGCUCGUGUUGUGAAAUGUUGGGUUAAGUCCCGCAACGAGCGCAACCCUUAUCCUUUGUUGCCAGCGGUCCGGCCGGGAACUCAAAGGAGACUGCCAGUGAUAAACUGGAGGAAGGUGGGGAUGACGUCAAGUCAUCAUGGCCCUUACGACCAGGGCUACACACGUGCUACAAUGGCGCAUACAAAGAGAAGCGACCUCGCGAGAGCAAGCGGACCUCAUAAAGUGCGUCGUAGUCCGGAUUGGAGUCUGCAACUCGACUCCAUGAAGUCGGAAUCGCUAGUAAUCGUGGAUCAGAAUGCCACGGUGAAUACGUUCCCGGGCCUUGUACACACCGCCCGUCACACCAUGGGAGUGGGUUGCAAAAGAAGUAGGUAGCUUAACCUUCGGGAGGGCGCUUACCACUUUGUGAUUCAUGACUGGGGUGAAGUCGUAACAAGGUAACCGUAGGGGAACCUGCGGUUG